This is a long non-coding RNA of Amphimedon queenslandica, 402 nucleotides long. RefSeq lists it as uncharacterized. The record is from RefSeq and is a predicted model, not a curated record. The transcript is spliced from 2 exons. Lineage: Eukaryota; Metazoa; Porifera; Demospongiae; Haplosclerida; Niphatidae.
AAUUGGAGGGAUUCAUAAGGUUGGUCUUAACCUGUCGCUGAAGACACUAACUCUAUAUAAAGACAACUCCUUCUCUCGUUAGUGAACCUAGCAACUCCACUAACCUACUCUUCUAACAAAACCCAAUCAUAAUGGACGAAGUGCGUCAAUGCUGUAAGAAUCUGUACUGCGGUACUACAGAUGACUAUCCUGAUGACUAUUGCCAUGAUGGCGGAUCAUGCUUUUGCUCCUUUUGUUGCUGGUUUUGGACAAUCGCCAUCUUCCUUCUGUUCGUAGCAGUCGUUACACUAAUAAUCCUCGCUGUUCUAAACAUCAUAUAGAGUCCAUUAAAAGUACUAUAAUUACCAGUAAAAGAAGACUUAAAUUUUAAAACUCCUUCUAAUGAAAAUUGUUGCUGCUCAA